GGUUUUUUAAACCUCAUGUCUGCCUGGGUUGGAUCCGCUGAAUCCAUCACCCUUUUCUUUAGUUCCUUGUGCACACCAUAAAUCCCAGAGGCUCUGGUCCUCAGGACUGCUCCUGCUAAUUAGGAGCCAGGAACCCACUAGCACAGGCUCCAGAAGACUCUGGAAGCAAGCUCCCUCUCCCUCAACCCACAGCGACACCGAGCCCCGGCCAGGGAAAGGUCUUCCUCUAGCAUCAGAUCCCCUGCACCGUAACCUCCGUGAUUCCGGACAAGCUCACAGAAGCACAUUCCUGUGAUUAAAAGACCCUGUGCACCAUCAGUGGCUUUGAAGUUUCUGAGAGAGAUCUCAGCUCCAAAAUGUCAUCAGAGAAGUCUGUUCACAGGGAUUUGGGGGCACACACUGGAGGCUGGAAUCUAUUCCUUCAAUUCUGCGUGUUCUCCUUGGGACCUUGGCAACACGACUGCUUCACCCAGCAGCCAGGUCUCCCCAAGAAAUCCCUCCUGAGACCCACACUGAAUUCCCAGCUGCCUGUUGGGCGUCUU
Molecule: long non-coding RNA, 542 nt
Filed under: Mustela putorius furo (domestic ferret)
Lineage: Eukaryota; Metazoa; Chordata; Mammalia; Carnivora; Mustelidae
Description: lncRNA (ENSMPUG00000026779.1)
Source: RNAcentral